Molecule: ribosomal RNA, 1835 nt
Filed under: Salmonella enterica subsp. enterica serovar Derby
Lineage: Bacteria; Pseudomonadati; Pseudomonadota; Gammaproteobacteria; Enterobacterales; Enterobacteriaceae
Description: partial 23S ribosomal RNA
Rfam family: Bacterial large subunit ribosomal RNA
Source: RNAcentral
GGGACACGUGGUAUCCUGUCUGAAUAUGGGGGGACCAUCCUCCAAGGCUAAAUACUCCUGACUGACCGAUAGUGAACCAGUACCGUGAGGGAAAGGCGAAAAGAACCCCGGCGAGGGGAGUGAAAAAGAACCUGAAACCGUGUACGUACAAGCAGUGGGAGCACAGGUUUACCUGUGUGACUGCGUACCUUUUGUAUAAUGGGUCAGCGACUUAUAUUCUGUAGCAAGGUUAACCGUAUAGGGGAGCCGCAGGGAAACCGAGUCUUAACCGGGCGUUAAGUUGCAGGGUAUAGACCCGAAACCCGGUGAUCUAGCCAUGGGCAGGUUGAAGGUUGGGUAACACUAACUGGAGGACCGAACCGACUAAUGUUGAAAAAUUAGCGGAUGACCUGUGGCUGGGGGUGAAAGGCCAAUCAAACCGGGAGAUAGCUGGUUCUCCCCGAAAGCUAUUUAGGUAGCGCCUCGUGAAUUCAUCUCCGGGGGUAGAGCACUGUUUCGGCUAGGGGGCCAUCCCGGCUUACCAACCCGAUGCAAACUGCGAAUACCGGAGAAUGUUAUCACGGGAGACACACGGCGGGUGCUAACGUCCGUCGUGAAGAGGGAAACAACCCAGACCGCCAGCUAAGGUCCCAAAGUCAUGGUUAAGUGGGAAACGAUGUGGGAAGGCCCAGACAGCCAGGAUGUUGGCUUAGAAGCAGCCAUCAUUUAAAGAAAGCGUAAUAGCUCACUGGUCGAGUCGGCCUGCGCGGAAGAUGUAACGGGGCUAAACCAUGCACCGAAGCUGCGGCAGCGACACUGUGUGUUGUUGGGUAGGGGAGCGUUCUGUAAGCCUGUGAAGGUGGCCUGUGAGGGUUGCUGGAGGUAUCAGAAGUGCGAAUGCUGACAUAAGUAACGAUAAAGCGGGUGAAAAGCCCGCUCGCCGGAAGACCAAGGGUUCCUGUCCAACGUUAAUCGGGGCAGGGUGAGUCGACCCCUAAGGCGAGGCCGAAAGGCGUAGUCGAUGGGAAACGGGUUAAUAUUCCCGUACUUGGUGUUACUGCGAAGGGGGGACGGAGAAGGCUAUGUUGGCCGGGCGACGGUUGUCCCGGUUUAAGCGUGUAGGUGUGUGUUCCAGGUAAAUCCGGUUCACUUUAACACUGAGGCGUGAUGACGAGGCACUACGGUGCUGAAGCAACAAAUGCCCUGCUUCCAGGAAAAGCCUCUAAGCAUCAGGUAACAUCAAAUCGUACCCCAAACCGACACAGGUGGUCAGGUAGAGAAUACCAAGGCGCUUGAGAGAACUCGGGUGAAGGAACUAGGCAAAAUGGUGCCGUAACUUCGGGAGAAGGCACGCUGACAUGUAGGUGAAGUGAUUUACUCAUGGAGCUGAAGUCAGUCGAAGAUACCAGCUGGCUGCAACUGUUUAUUAAAAACACAGCACUGUGCAAACACGAAAGUGGACGUAUACGGUGUGACGCCUGCCCGGUGCCGGAAGGUUAAUUGAUGGGGUCAGCGCAAGCGAAGCUCCUGAUCGAAGCCCCGGUAAACGGCGGCCGUAACUAUAACGGUCCUAAGGUAGCGAAAUUCCUUGUCGGGUAAGUUCCGACCUGCACGAAUGGCGUAAUGAUGGCCAGGCUGUCUCCACCCGAGACUCAGUGAAAUUGAACUCGCUGUGAAGAUGCAGUGUACCCGCGGCAAGACGGAAAGACCCCGUGAACCUUUACUAUAGCUUGACACUGAACAUUGAGCCUUGAUGUGUAGGAUAGGUGGGAGGCUUUGAAGCGUGGACGCCAGUCUGCGUGGAGCCGGCCUUGAAAUACCACCCUUUAAUGUUUGAUGUUCUAACGUGGACCCGU